UGAUCUGAAAUCAGGCGGGAUUACCCGCUGAACUUAA
RNAcentral lists this ribosomal RNA (37 nucleotides) under Absidia glauca. RNAcentral describes it as "partial 26S ribosomal RNA". The record is from RNAcentral. RNAcentral also lists the same sequence under 2 other names. Lineage: Eukaryota; Fungi; Mucoromycota; Mucoromycetes; Mucorales; Cunninghamellaceae.